AACUAUAAUCUGUACAUUCUUUUCCUAGAAAAGUUUAUCUCCAGGACAAAGUUUUUAAAACGUGGUAUAAAAUAUUUGAGGUCAAAUUUAUAAUUCACAUUCAGUUAUCUAUUUUUGUAAAAGUUCAUGUGUAUUCUGUUAGUUAAAUACUUUUAAUCUGCAGCAGUAACGACUUCAGAAUUAAAGCGCGUAUCAACUCUAGUAUCGUCUUAAGUCAACAACAAUGUCUGCAAGGAAUAUUGAAACAAUAACAAUUGCCAUCGUUGGUAAAACUGGACAUGGAAAAUCCAGCACUGGGAACACAAUUUUACGACAGCAUGCCUUUGAAGAGACUCCAAAUUCUUCCGAUUCAACAGAAAUUUUAGGGCUACGACGUGAAUAUUUCGACAACUACCUAUUCAAAGUGUAUGAUCUUCCUGGAGUUAAAUCGACUUCAUUUUCCCAUGAUCACAUAAAUAGACAAUUGCUUUCCCUUAUGGACACCGCUUCCAAAAUUGAUCUUUUUAUGUUUGUGUUUAGUUAUAGAUGCCAUUUCACUGCCGAAGAAGAAGGAUCAUUGUGUGACCUUCAGAAAGUUUUUGGAAAACAUUUUCUGAGAAAUCACGGUAUCAUUGUGGUCACUCAUGGAGAUUACUGUAGCAAAGAUGCUUCUGAAAGAAAUAUUACCCCAGAUGAAGCCUUCAGACAAUGGUGUGAAAAUUCCAGAGAUGAAUUCAAGCGCAUAAAGUAUAUGGUGAAUAAUCGACUAUUGCUUGUUUGCAAUAAAGGUUCUCUUGAAGAUAAUGAUCGAUUGGAAUCGUCCAAAAAGAUGCAUGAAAUGGCCAUCAAAAUGUUUAAGCAAAGAACACCGUACACAAAAGAAGAGUUUGAAAAAACUAAUAGUAGAUGUAACUUUUUAUAAAUAAGAGAAAAUGUGUAUAGCCAAUAUCCUUUUUUUUUAUUAAAGAAACCAUCUAAAAAAAUAGAUGAAUUCUGUUUAAAAACAAAAGUAUGGACAGCUACUUUAGAUAAACAUAAAAUGCAGUACAGAUUUUUACAGUGGGAAACACCAAUUUAAGCUUCUUAAAUAAAUUUAAAUAAAAUAUACAUCAUGAAGUUUAAAUUGAAAAAUAAUGUUAAAGAAUUCUAUAACUAUUUUUUUUAUAACUUUUUAUUAGUAAACUAAAAUUUAACAUAACGUUGAGUUUGUACCAUAAUAAACCACGACACUUACACACACACAUAUGACUUUAUUGUGCCUUUAAUUCAAUUUUUAUUAUAAUGACCCUGCAAAUUUUAAUCCAAUGCAAGCAAUGUACCGAAUAGUCUCCGAAUAGAUUUUCAUCAAUUUCAGGACUAUAUAUAAAACAAGGUUACAAAAGACAGUUUGUGUGGAAACACAAACUCAAAAUCGGCCCCCGAAGUAGUCCACCCAGUUAGGCUUCAAUAUCUUUCAGAAAGAACAUCCGAAUGAAAUUAUAUCAAAGACAAAUGAGAGAUAAGAAUGGAGAAAAAAGGUCGACAGAUCUUGUGUAGUGCCCCAACGGUCCCGCAGAUCAAACAAUAGGUGAAAGUGAAUGUAAAGUUAGAUGUGAACCUGGCCUAACUAGUUCCCCUUUCAGACCUUGUGGUCUAUAGGGCAGAUGAUGUUCAUCUGUUUUUGUGGCCUACGGUUAACGAGGGUGUCAUGUAGCCAGCACAACGACCAACCGCCUUUACUUUUCCCCAACUAAUGUCAGCUACCCAUUAGAGCUGAGUAGACUCAGAGGCGCCCAAAGAUUCCAAAGUUGAAAAUCCCAGUCUUCACCAGGAUUCGAAACCGGGACCCCCGGUUCAAAAGCCAAGCACUUUACCGCUCAGCCACCGCACCUCCUCUGGCCUAAAUGAUGUCUUAUAAUUGAUCUAAUUGUUUUGAAAAGGCUCAAUCUCUUAUUCUAAUACUCAAAAUAAAAAUAUAAAAGGCAUUAAAUUUUUGCAAUAUAAAGAAGUUCAGGAAAAUGAACUUUACAAGAUUAUUAUUUAUUUUUAAUUAGGUCUAACUUAUAAUGAAUACUAAUUAGCUUUUUCUCUUUAAAAAACUGCUUGCAUAACUGAUUUUAAAAAUUAGAUUUUUCGCUUUCAAAAAAAAAAAAAAGUAACCGUUGCAUCAGAACUUUGAAUGGUCUAAAAUAUUGUGAUUUCGGAUUUUCAAUAUCUUUUCUAGUUUACGAGAUCUAAACGGGACGAACGGACAGACGGACAGACAUUUCGCACAAAACUAAUUGCGUCUUUUCCCCUUUCGAGGGCCGCUAAAAUGCAUUUUCCAAAGGCCUCAAUGGAAUGCUAUAUUCCUGUUAUUUUGUUUAGUUUUUUUUCUAAGUAUAAAUAUUGUAUUGGUUUGAUUUAUAGUAAUCGUUUAUCUCACCUCUUUUGAAUGUAGCGAAGUGAUAAUAUAUUUAUAUUCCUCUAUCUCUUUCUCGAAAACAAAAGACUCUAUAUCUUUCUUAUUAGUGAUAUUAGGAUUGUUUGUUUUUUUUCGUUUUUUAGGACAACGUCUAUAAGAAAGUGGAAAUGACGUUAAAAAAUUCACAAUUGGGAAAAAAAUAUUUAAAUUCCCUUACCUACGACAUUAUUUUAUAUGGCAUGCGUCUCAAGUCUUAAGUAGCCCCUGACAACCAAUCCAACUCCUUACAUAUAAAUAUCUAGGCGUUAUCAUUAAUAAAAAUAUCUCAUGGGAAGACAAGCGACUUUUUUUAAAUAUACAAACUCAAUAGUUUUAAACUAAAUUAGAAGAUCCUAAAUACUUUUUACAGCGCGUCUAUACAAAAUCUGCUAACAUACGGAAUAACUUGUUGCCAAGGCACCGCUUCAUCUAACCUGUUGCGCCGUCUAGAAACCAGCAUUACCACACUUAAAGGAACUUUGUUGAACAAAAGUGUCUAAGGAAAAUCGAAACAGCCACCCGCUCCAUCAGAACUACUUCAGGUUGUCGCGAAGUGGGCGACUACUGUCAAUCAAUACAGCAACAGAGCGGUACAAAAACUCGUUCGUACCUCACUCGGUCAGACUAUAUCAACGCCUCUCGUUGAUCAGGAAACAUGAAAAAGACCAAGAUGCCUGUGUGUAGUCGCUGAAUGAACUUUUUAUGUUGUGUCUGUUCUAUUUGUGUGUAUCUUUCCGUUGUGUUCUUUAUAUGAGAAGAGAGUCCUUGCAAUCACAACAAAUUUUCAAAAGUAUCAAUAGAGCAGUCUUAGUCUUAGUCUUAAUCUUGCCUUCACGUGUGACUCAGAUAUUUUGUCCUUCGGAACUGAUUUCUAUUAGAAAGUAUUACUAGUAGAAAAGGGCCCAUUAGCCUUGGCUAGCUACCCACCAAAAAGAAUUAGAACUAUAAAAUCAAACAUUUACUGGUUUGCAGAUAUACUCAAACAUGGGAAAAGCUUCAUAAAUCAACCCUGUGGGAAUCUUUUUGGAGCAACUCGAGCACAUUGCCUCUAUAUAUGAAAUGUCUUUAAAACCUUUGGAGCCAGUGAUCGACCCUUUGGUAGUUUGCAAUACACAGUACUACACCCUGGCACAACCUCAACGCCACUGGCUCCGAACAGUACCGGCACUAGCUGUUUCUUUGCAUACAUCAGCUUCGAAAAGAGGGGGGAACUACCAUUUUUGUGACAUCGUUUGUACUAUAGCAAUGCCUAGGCAUUCAUCUCAUUUGUCAGAGAUGAUCCAUAAUCGAUAAAUAUUUCAUUUUGUAAAAGAUUAGAAAAAGAGACUAUUGAAUACACUAGAGGUUUAAUUUUGUGAUUCCGUUGUUUUUAUUUUAAAUAUUUUUUUUAUUAGACAAUCUUUUACUCACCUGUGGGUCAAGUUAAACUUAGAAAUUGAUAUAUUUCUUUGAACACUUACAUAUUUCUAUUUAUUAAGAAUACGAAAGUAUUAUCGACCUCUUGCCUUGUGUUAUGUACUAAUCCUAUUGUAUUUUUUUUUCGAGAUAAAAUAUAUAUUCAAUAUUUCCUGGAAAAUUAAUUUAUUGAAGCGUCUAUCUCACCAAAGUAAAUACAAAAUAUGAACUUCUUAAAGCUCUAUUUCUUCACAGAAACAAUAUGAUAUCGGUUAGACAUUUUUAUUUUCUCAACACCUUUGAACAUUUUUUUCAAGAUUUUAGCUAAGUAACAAUUUUUACACUAGGUAAAAAAAUGUAUUUUCCCUUAAACUAUAAAUAGGUCUUAUUACAAAGUAAACUUUUUUUUUAUAAAUGACUGCAUAUUUUUCACCAUUGUGAUUGAACUUUUGUUUUAAGUUUUAUAGCGUCACUAAUAACUCCUAUUUAAAUCAGCCAAGUUAUAUAACACACAACAAAACACAAUACACAUUUAAUGAGUUUGAAAGUUUAAAAAUUCAUAUUAAACUCUGUUUUUAAUGAAUUAAUUUUCUACCAAAUUUACAUUCAUAAAUUUUCCCUUCAGUUAUAUCGCUAAAUAAGGAAUAUUUAAAUGUUCAUUAAAUGACCUAUGGAUGGAUGCUUGGUCGUGCGGUUUGCGCACUGGACUGUCGUUUGAAUUUAUCUAUAGUCCUUGGUUUAAACACUGCAUGCUCCCAUCCACCGUCGUCCUGUGGGAAGUUUGGACUAGAAAGUAAACUAUUUUUAAGUCUGAAGGAACAUCCGAAAUAUGUAAAACAUUUUACAAACAAACCUAUAAAAGUAUAACAAAAAACAGUUUUGUGUUGUAUUUUAUUUUUGAGUCUUGCGUUCAUAACACAUAUUAACACUAUAUCAAUCAUUAGAUGAAUACCUUUGUACCGAAGCAAUGUAUUGGAAGAAGAUGAAGACAGAAGUCAGUAGCUAAUGUAAUCACAUCUGUAAUAUAUAAAGGAAACAAAGCUGCUGGCUUUCUUUAUUUAUUUGUGGCCUAUUGUAGCUUCAAUAUAAUAUAUUUGUCCAAUAGCUCAAAAUCUUUUUUUUUACUAGGCUUUUGAAUGUAAUAUCGAACCUAAGAUAGAAAUCGAAGUUUCCCCAGCGUUAAUUUUCUUGAAAAAUAUUUCCAUUUCGACAUUCCUAGGAAAGCAUAUUACGAAAAGUUUUUAUAAAAACCAGGUUACACAAUUUCACUUUAUGAUAUAUCUUCAUUAAGAGGACUAUUGUACAAUAGUUCACUAACACUUUUGAAAAAUGCCAGAAAUAAUUAUUGCACUAGUUGGUAAAACUGGACAUGGGAAAUCCAGCACAGGAAACACCAUUUUAAGAAAAGUGGCGUUUGAACACGAUCGUUCGACAACGUUUACUACGGAGAUUUUAACAUUACAACAUGCUGACUUUGAAAAUUAUAAAGUCAAAGUUUAUGACUUACCUGGUUUGGAAUCACAGUUUAUUUCUCAAGAACAUAUUACACGACAGAUAUUUUCGCUUAUGGAAGCCGCUAAAAAAAUCGAUUUGUUUAUUUUUGUGUUUAAUUACAUAAAUCGCUUUACCCGUGAGGAAGAAAAUGCAUUUUCAUUUUUACAGAAGCAAUUCGGUCAUGAUUUUCUUACAGAACACGGCAUCAUUGUGAUCACUCAUGGAGAUCUUUUGAAAAUCGAAGCUGCAGAUAAGAAUAUGUCCUCUGAGCAGUUUUUUAGGAAGUGGUGCAAUAUUGCUGGAGAUAAAUUCAACAGCCUAAUAAAUAUGGUCAGUGAUAGGAUACUUCUUGUUGGUAACAGAGGCUCAUUUGAAAAUAACAAUGAAAGGAUAGUGUCGUCCAAGAAAAUUCAUGAAAUAGCUGUUAAAAUGUUUAACAAGUCUAAUCCUUAUACAAAAGAAGAGUUUGACAAAAUGCAUAGACCUUGUGAAAUUUUAUAAUUCAAAAAUAAAUAAAUAAACAUAUACUCCUGGCUUAUAGAGUUAAAAAUAAAUUAAUAGAUUACAACAUUUGUUUUCCGUUGUGGUAUUUAGAGAUGUACAACAUUUAAUGUUAUAGAUAUCGUUCAUGACAUUAGAUUACAACAUGAAAUAUUUUAUCCGAUUUUAUAAAUGAAUAAUCUGGUUUUGUUAGUGAAAAGCUAGUAGCAUGCUUGGAUUUAAUGCUUUGUAAAUAUUUAAGAAUAUGGAUGGGUGGAAUUCAAUAGUAAAUAUUAUGCUUUGUAACUUAUAACUUAACCUUAAAAAUUGAUGUUAAAAAGUGUAUAAUAUUGGCUAUUUUUUUGUUUCUGUUCAGAAUAUAAAUCCUAGCAUGAAAAAAAUUAAAUUCAAAUAAAUUAAUCUGAUAUUAACUGUACGAAUGUUUGCUUAAACAACAAAUAAAGAUGUACUUUGACUGAUUGAAUGAACUAAUUAAGAGCGACAGCUUUAUAUGAUCCAAUCUUUCUUUUAUAGUCCAUGACAAAUAUAUAAGAACAAUUACACAAUGUUCGAUAAUCAGACAUACACAAAUGUUCAUUUAACAAUAUGCUUGCGUUGUUUCCCUUCCCUUUUAUACACUUAAAUGCGUCAAUCGUACUAAAGUGUUAAAAACGCCAUUUGACACUAGCACUCCAAACACUUUUCAAUCACCUGGAACAGUAACUUUAGAAAAAAAUGCGGAACUAGAAGAUCUGAGUCUAUAGACAGCAAGAUUACAGAAAGACAUAUAUUUAUUUUUUUUUACAAAGCUUAUAUAAACUCACCCCGUCUAUCAGUCUGUGUUAUGUCUGUCUGUGUGUCUGUCUAUGUGUGUGUGGUUAAAAGUGUGCACACGCCAUUUUUAUCACACCCAAUAUCCUAUCGGAGGCGCGCUGGUUGAGUGGUAAAGCGCUUGGUUUCCGAACCAGGGGUCCCGGGUUCGUAUCCUAAUGAAGACUGGGAUCUUUUAUUUCGGGAUCUUUGGGCGCCUCUAAGUCUACCCAGCUCUAAUGGGUACCUGAAAUUAGUUGGGUAAAGUAAAGGCGGUUUGGUCGUUGUGCUGGCCACAUGACACCCUCGUUUACCGUAAGCCAAGAAAUAGAUGAUCUUUACAUCAUCAGCCCUAUAGACCUCAAGGUCUGUAAGAGGAACUUUACUUUACAAUCUCGUAUCAAAUUGAAAUUUCGCACAAUUAUCUAUUAGCAUAGACAACACAUGAAUCAAUAAAAAGUUGAUAAUUCGUAGAUUAAUAACUGGUAAUCAAUUAUAUUCUUUGAUACCAUAAGAGUAAAGAAAUAAUUUGAUAUUUACAGAUAUGACUACAUUUCUUGGGUUUAGUCUCCUUAAACAAUUGUUAAUGCUAGGUCUCGCUCACACAUUCUCCUAUAAAUUAUUUAUUGUAACUAACAAAAUAUGAAUCAAUAAAAAAAAUAUUCAAUUAAAUAGUUAAUAUCAGGUGACCGAGCCUCGCUCGGAUGAAUAAUUUGUUAAGGAAGGAUAAAUACCCGAAGUCAUUUUGAGAAUAUUUUUGUACCAGGUGGCCGAACCUCGCUCUGUUAAAUAAUUUCGGAAGGUUAUAUACCCGAAGUCAUUUUGGGAAUAUUCUUGUAAUUACGAAAAUGAACGAUCGGAUAAAGACUACUAAUCUGAAGAGUUGUUUUAGUGUUCUGUUAGUUCUAAUUGUAGGCCUAAUUGUACAUGUCGAUUAAAUUUAAAGUCUUUUAAGUCCUCCUACAGUCUAGACAAACUACAGCUCACGUCCGUCUUAUAGUUUUACAAUCCAUCUUUUGUGUAAAACUAUUGUAGGCUUACUAUUAUUGGCUUGGAAGAAAGUCUUUGCAAUGUAACUUCUCUACGUUAUAGGGUAAAACAUGCACUUAGUCACAAAGUAAAAUGGCGCAUUUUUUCUUAUUAGACUUAAAUCAUGGCAUUAGUUUUCUAAAGAAACGUUUCCGUGGGGCACCUCUGUUACGCCAAACAAUAGGCUCGUUACCCAUACGGGUUACGUGCCCUGCCCAGCCUGACUGUCGGACUAUAGGAAGUUCAUACCGGCUUUUGCCAUCCAUCCAUCCUAGUGGUGCUAUGGCCUGCUUUUACACAUCCAUCCAUUCAGAUCUCUCCUGGCCCUAACUCCAAGCUUUUUACCGAGGUUUAUAGUUAAAUCAAAAGAGGCUGCAGUGUACGCAAACUCGUUGACUGCUAGAUGGAUAUCAUGUUUAGUGUGAGCAAGUAAGGCGUAGAGAAGUUGUGUUAUGACCAUUUCCUUUGUUUUGGUACAGGAGAGGUAGACACUGAAGCAUGAACACAUGGUAAUAAUUCACCAGCAAAAUAAUAAUAAAAAUAAGGCUUGUCUUAGAGUCCGAAAAUUAAUGAGGAUUGCAGCUGUGACCUACAUAUCUUGCCACAUCCAGGGCAAGCAUAACCAUUGUCCGCGAUGCUCGAUUAAGAUUUUCUUUUAGCGUCUGCGUCUGUCCUCGGCAGCAAAUUUUCUUUUGGUCUCAAAUGUGUAUCCGCGGCCUUUGUAUAGAGGGAAUUCUUUAAGUCCGACAGUUACGCUGGACAGAGCAGUAUCCUGUAUGGAAGACGAAUCUCAGACGAACGCAUGCCAAAGGCAGUCUUUUUUGGUGAGCUAAAAAGUGGUCGACGUAACACCGAAAGACCAGCUUAUGGCGCAAACUUGACUUAGCUGACAUAGAAGAGAGCACAUGGUUGCAUGCAACCUCAGAACGAGACAGCUGGAGGUCACCAGCAAAAUAAACAACAAAGUAAAAGGUAUCUACACCGCUCUACACAAUUAAAGUGUAAACAACUUAUUAAGCACUUAAAACACAAUAACUAAUCAUAUAUGGGCACAUUUAAUUUCAUUACUUUUCUUUCAUAGUUCUAUAAUAAAUCAAUCUACAGUAAUAUGGUGCGCAAAUGUUUAAUUAGGUCUAUUGAUCCUUUAAAACUCGUUCUUGUUUGCAAAGAAAUAUUUUAGUAUACUGCGGUAAGCCUAGUGACGUAAACAGCGUUUUUCCCGUUUACGUCAUGGAAAAUUUUCAUUCAUAAAACAUUCUAGCCAAAAUUAAUUUUUCGAUAAUGAGGCAUUUUCAAACUGAUAUAACGGUCGACCUCGAGUUUUCCCGAUGUGGCCAAUGAGUUGAGAAUUUUUUUCUCACUAAUAUGCACAUACCUUGAAAUUUUAAAGAAAAUCGUUAGAGCCGUUUUCGAAAUAAAAUUUAUAUAUAUAUAUAUAUAUAUAUAAAUAUAAAUAUAUAUACAUACAUACAUACAUACAAGAAUUGCUCGCUUAAGAGUAUAGGAUAAUUAAUUUGCUUGUUUGAUAUCAAAUAACGGAAAUAACAUGUACAUUAUUGAUAGAUAUAGUUUAAAGAGGAAGGGUCCUUGCCUUUAGAUAAGCAUUUUUUUGUUAAGAUUUUUUUUUAAUAUGAUAUAUUACAUGGGUCUAGGAAACUGUGUGCUUUAUUACUUAUUAUACUUUGUUUUUGUUUUCUAAUGAAUGCAUAUUUAAGCAUGAUACAUGUUUUGAAACAAGACCUAGCUUUUCUUUACGGUGUUAAUGGCAUCCACACUGUAUCUUGUAUGGAUAAAUAAAACAGUAACUCUCAAAUAACGAAAUCAAAAUAACACAGGCGAAAGUCCAACAAUAUUUGUUAGUCAACGCAGAUUGUAAAUGUCGAACAAGAAGUUUAAUAAUAUCGGAUGGAGCCGUAGAAUGUCGUGAAGCUAAUUUCUCAACGUCUAUAAAAACUGUUUCUCUUUUAAGCCGUCGGAAGUAUUCUGUUUACAUUUCGCUAUUUUUCCUAAAAUCCUAUUCUUGUCUUUACUAGUCGCGUCAUUGUCUCUAAGUCAAAACUAUCAUUUUGUUUGAAACAGGUAAUCUAAAAAUAAUCGUGCCAUAACAACGAUGAUUAUGUAGGCAAGGCUAGUUAAGACUUUUUUAGUGCCAAUGAAAACAAUAUGAGAAGCAGAUAAGAGAAGCUAGGUUGACUCUUAAUAGUGAAUUGUGUCUUACAAUAUGGUUGAAACAUGAUCUUAAGGUCAGUUUUUAAUACUUAUGUAUUUUUUAUAUCUCUUUUGACAGCCAGUGCUGACUUGUAAAAGUAGAUAUUCAUUUGUUUUCUUUUUUAUGGUAACUUAUACCCUCCAGUUUUCUGUAGCCUUUACUCUAGGCCAGCAGUUCUCAACCUUUUAAGCUCGUCGUCCCCUUUUUACAACCCCCCACUCUUCUGCGACACCCACCCACCCACAUUUGCACAGCAAUAGAAUAAUUGACAAAAAACAAUCCAUUUAUCGAUGGUCUUAGGCGACACCUGGCAAAUCGUCAAUUGACCCACCAAGGGGUCGCGACCGACAGGUUGAGAACCGCUGCUCUAGGCUUUAAGUAUUCUUUCAGCGUCAGAGUCUAUCUUUCACAACUAUGUCCAUUUUGAAUUUAGCAUUAUUAUUGGAUUUAUUUUAAGUUAUAAAAUGUAAUAAAAUACACAUAUAGAUGAACAUAUUGAAAUAAUCAUGCAUAGUGACUGUACUGGUGUUGUUGAUGUCAAACAUAAUAUAAAUAAGAUGAAUUGUAAUAUCUGGUGUCGAGUCAAGCCUGUUUCUAUACUUUUACUUUGUUGUAACAUAAUAAUAAAAUAGAAAAACAUUAAAACAUACUUUAAAAAAUCAAA
Long non-coding RNA from Biomphalaria glabrata, 10482 nucleotides. RefSeq lists it as uncharacterized. Lineage: Eukaryota; Metazoa; Mollusca; Gastropoda; Planorbidae. The record is from RefSeq and is a predicted model, not a curated record. The transcript is spliced from 4 exons.